This 234-nucleotide ribosomal RNA is filed under the name uncultured bacterium. Its description in RNAcentral is "partial 16S ribosomal RNA". It matches the Rfam family "Bacterial small subunit ribosomal RNA", at positions 103 to 334 of the family's 1533-position model. The record is from RNAcentral.
CGGGUGAGUAACGCGUGAGGAACCUGCCUCAAAGAAGGGGGACAACAGUUGGAAACGACUGCUAAUACCGCAUAAGCCCACGGCUCGGCAUCGAGCAGAGGGAAAAGGAGCAAUCCGCUUUGAGAUGGCCUCGCGUCCGAUUAGCUAGUUGGUGAGGUAACGGCCCACCAAGGCAACGAUCGGUAGCCGGACUGAGAGGUUGAACGGCCACAUUGGGACUGAGACACGGCCCAG